GAGGAUAAAUCAGAAUUGGAGAAGUAUUUGAGUUUAAAUGAGCCUGAUGCAACCGAUAGUGAUGACUUUGAUAUUCUCAUUUGGUGAAAACUCAAUAGUCAUAGGUAUCCUACUCUUGCCCUACUAGCUCGUGAUGUAUUAGCAAUUCCUCCAUCCACAAUUGCUUCGAAAUCAGCUUUUAGCACCGGUGGUCGUGUGCUUGAUGCAUAUAGGAGUUCUUUAAAGCCUAAGAUGGUGCAAGCUCUUAUGUGUGCUCAAGAUUGGCUACGUGAACCUUCUUAUUAUCUUCAUGACACUGAGAAUGAUUUGGCAAAGCUUGAGAAAAUUGAUGAAGAGUUGUCAAAGAUUGCAGUGGACAAUGUACUUGAUAAUCUUUAAGGUUGCUGCUGAAAAUCCAACCUAAGCACCUGCCAUUGCACUUCCCUUUGUUGCACCACCCUUGUCUCCUGCAUCUUUCCUUCCAUCUGAACCACCUUCUGUUGUUGUUGAAGACU
Molecule: non-coding RNA, 494 nt
Organism: Theobroma cacao (cacao)
Lineage: Eukaryota; Viridiplantae; Streptophyta; Magnoliopsida; Malvales; Malvaceae
Source: RefSeq, a predicted model, not a curated record